Molecule: long non-coding RNA, 1347 nt
Organism: Bombyx mori (domestic silkworm)
Lineage: Eukaryota; Metazoa; Arthropoda; Insecta; Lepidoptera; Bombycidae
Exons: 2
Source: RefSeq, a predicted model, not a curated record
CGAGCAACACUUCCGGCCUCACAUAAUAAAUUAUUUACGAACUUAGGAAAUAUAUAGAACUUAUUAUUCUUAUAAUAUAAUUAGUAAUUUCAUAAUCAAGUAAAUAGUUCAUUCAUAUUUUCUUUAUACUUAUAAUAUUUUAUUGGCGCCUUCCGCUUGACAGCUUCCGGCGCAAUAAGUCUUAAUGUUAUUUGUUACAUAAUUCCAUAUUAUUAAAUAAUAAUUGUACGUAAAUAAUCAGCAGAAUAAUUAAGAUGAUCAAUGUUUAAUAUUACCUACUCAGUUUGUAUUAAAAUAGGUCAAGAUGAUUGUAUAAAUACCGACGGUUAGCAUAUCUCUGUUGCAUUCGUAUUCUACCCACCGUAAUGUGUACUAAAGAGAAUAUAUUAUUUCGUGUGGAUGUAAAUUGUCUCAAUUGUCGCCGCCACCCUGAGGAUCCGUUUAUACUUCAGAAGUGGGAUUAUGCCAGGCCCAUGCAUUGACGGAUUUGAGACCGCUGAGAAACACAGGCGAUACAAAAUGCGACGUGUCACCCAAACCGAUGCGGAGGUUAUUCCAACGUUCCGGCCGGAUGAAAAAUCUAGCAACGUCAAGGGAUGGCUGCACAAGAUCGACCAGUUGGAUCACGUAUAUGGAUGGGACAACAAAGACUGCCAGUUCAUCAUGCAGAUAUGUCUUCGUGGGUCGGCUAGGGAUUGUGCGAUACACCACCGCAACUAUACUACACAUCCGCGAAUGGCUACCACAUGGAGAAGGUGCUGUUGCUCCAGUUGCAAGAGGGACCGACUUUCAACCAAAGAAAUGUUACGCCUGCCGAAGAGAAGGUCAUGAAACACAGAACUGCAAAGAGCCGCGCUGCGAGGUGUGCCAUACACCAGCGACAAACCAGGCGCCAAUAGCAGCGCUGAUCGCCGUGGGACACGGCAUACACAGGAUGGCCGAAUGUUAUCGAGCAACACUUCCGGCCUCACAUAAUAAAUUAUUUACGAACUUAGGAAAUAUAUAGAACUUAUUAUUCUUAUAAUAUAAUUAGUAAUUUCAUAAUCAAGUAAAUAGUUCAUUCAUAUUUUCUUUAUACUUAUAAUAUUUUAUUGGCGCCUUCCGCUUGACAGCUUCCGGCGCAAUAAGUCUUAAUGUUAUUUGUUACAUAAUUCCAUAUUAUUAAAUAAUAAUUGUACGUAAAUAAUCAGCAGAAUAAUUAAGAUGAUCAAUGUUUAAUAUUACCUACUCAGUUUGUAUUAAAAUAGGUCAAGAUGAUUGUAUAAAUACCGACGGUUAGCAUAUCUCUGUUGCAUUCGUAUUCUACCCACCGUAAUGUGUACUAAAGAGAAUAUAUUAUUUCGUGUG